CUGCUCGGCGCCGACACCCAGG
This 22-nucleotide unclassified non-coding RNA is filed under the name Mus musculus (house mouse). Its description in RNAcentral is "oocyte_clustered_small_RNA13199". The record is from RNAcentral. Lineage: Eukaryota; Metazoa; Chordata; Mammalia; Rodentia; Muridae.